This 371-nucleotide long non-coding RNA is filed under the name Helianthus annuus (common sunflower). Its description in RNAcentral is "hypothetical non coding rna". The record is from RNAcentral. Lineage: Eukaryota; Viridiplantae; Streptophyta; Magnoliopsida; Asterales; Asteraceae.
GUGUGUGUGUGUGUGUACGAGCAGAGGAGAAGAAAGGAAGGGGGAGCCCUUCUCAAACCCUAAGCAACGAAUUGGAAGGAUUCUGGCCGAAAUCGAACCUGCAUGAACCUUAAUAGUGAUAAUCUAAGCAAGAUGUAACCAAGGAAACCAUGUUUAUGAGAACGUGUCAAGGAGAGCUCAAGCAUAGGAGGAUAACGGGUCAAGAUAAGGCAAGGUGACAAAUACACUUAUUGGAGUACUCAAGGUAAUGCAGGAAUGAGAACGACGGAUUCUCGUGGAAUGGAAGCUGAACUCGGAACGAGAGAAUCCGAGAGAAUAGUCGGAUAAAUCAAAGUUUACGUUGUCGAAUGUUAUACUAUUUAAUUAUAUGU